RNAcentral lists this long non-coding RNA (857 nucleotides) under Jatropha curcas. Its description in RNAcentral is "long non-coding RNA (JCUR_LNC000883)". The record is from RNAcentral. Lineage: Eukaryota; Viridiplantae; Streptophyta; Magnoliopsida; Malpighiales; Euphorbiaceae.
ACUAAUUGAAGGAUUUGGGUAGGUUUUCUUAACGGCGGCUAUAAGCUUACCGUCGUCGAGAAAAGCUUUAUAAACGGUGCCGUGGCUACCUUUACCGAGAAAACUUUCGGCAGAGAAGCCGUUGGUAGCUUGUACUAACUCCGGGUAAGUGAAGUCUCUGAUUUUUAUUGGUUUAUUUUGUUUAGCUUUGGUAGCUUUAUUUUUUCUUCUAUUGCGAUCCCAAUUGUAUGGAUCGCAGGUGGCUAUUGCAGACUCUGCAUUACAAGAGAGAUAACCCAUAAUUAAAAUAAUAAGAAGAAGAAGAAAGAAAGUAUAGGGUUAUUUGCAAGGGAGACGAAGAUAGUGAGAGAUAGAUGGAUUCAGAAGAAGGUGGAGGUGGAAGUUGGAAAGUAGAACGGCAAAUGCCAUUAUUAGUAGAAAGAAGGUAGAGAAAGUCUAAAGGCGUGGGCUGUGUUUUACAGCUUUGAAGUUGAGAACCGAACGAUGUGAAAAUAAUCAAAGCUUGAAAAUUUUGAAUGCUGCUGGUGUUUGUAAAUAUUUUAAUGUUUUUCUCUUUCUUUUUACAUGCAAAAGCGUGCGACUUUAGGUGGAAUUUCUCGGGCUUGGCUUAAAGACGGUGGGGCCGGGCCAGGUAUCUGUUUUCACUUUUACUUUUCUAUUCCGGUCCAUGAACUGGUUUUUUUUUUUUAAAAAAAAAAAUUUAAAAUAUGCUAAUUAAGUUAUCAUCUAUUAUUCAAUUUUAGAUGAUAACUUAAUAAGAAUGUGGACUUUUUUACUCUAGUGUAUUCAAUUUUACUCUUUAGUGUGAAUUAUUUUGUUUACUCUCUAUAUUAUAAUACCUUAUAUUAGAUUCCCUG